GGAAGGGUGAUAGCUCAGUGGCAAAGGAUCUGCUUUGUAUGCAGAAAGUCCUAGGUUCAAUCCCUAGCAUCUCCA
Molecule: non-coding RNA, 75 nt
Organism: Podarcis lilfordi (Lilford's wall lizard)
Lineage: Eukaryota; Metazoa; Chordata; Lepidosauria; Squamata; Lacertidae
Source: the annotation of a GenBank genome assembly